GCGCACUGCAGAGGAGGACGUGAGGGUGGAGAGAGCUGGAAAGGGAAAGGUGUUCACUGAGGCAAAGAAACAGAGAGGUGGGCAGCAGAGGCCCAUGGUGAAGACGGCCCAGGACUUGGAGAGAGCAAAUUCUUGAUGGAGAUCGGAAGAGGGAAGCCAAAGAAGAGACAGGAAAGGGAGAAAUGGGGCCAUGGGGAAGAAAGGGGCUGCGAUCCAAGAAGCAGGACACACCCUGUGCUGGGUAGAGCUGGGCCCCAGGAGCCAGAUCAGAUGCCCCAUCAGGGCCCGAAGGAUAAGGAAAAUUCCCAGCCUGGAGUUCAACCCCUCACUCUGGAACUUAUGAAUUCAGUAAAUACUUAUUGACUGACUCAACAAAAAGACAGAAGGAUAGCACGUCUGAGGCCCUUCGGUUCCCUGCUUAAAACAGGUUUGCUGUGUUGGCUUUUCAGACUGGCUUACCCGCAGCCUGGCCGACCUACUUGUCUGUUCUCCCUUCUUCCCAACAUGUGGGGUAUUUUUUCAGUUAAACUGGGCAAGUAACAGUGCCCUGAUACUCCCUAAACUUGCUUGUCUCCAUGUUUUUUUCCAGACCAGCUCCUUCCUCCUUGAUUCCCCUCUUCCUCAAUGCCCUUCAUUUACCACCAGUUAAAAUCCUACCCCUCCUUUAAGACCCAUGCGCUUCCUUCAUGAAGGCUGCCCAGAUUUCCUGUGGGAGUGGGUUCACUUUUUUCCCUUUAAAUCUCCACCAGCACUUGGAGUGUCCCUGGAAGCCUAUAACCUGAUUUAUCCCCAUCCUACAUUGUAAGCACCAAAAGGGCAGGGAUUGUAUCCCCUUCAUUUUUGUACCCCUUCCUCGCAUCCCCUACACGGAGCUUCG
RNAcentral lists this long non-coding RNA (877 nucleotides) under Mustela putorius furo (domestic ferret). Its description in RNAcentral is "lncRNA (ENSMPUG00000029010.1)". The record is from RNAcentral. Lineage: Eukaryota; Metazoa; Chordata; Mammalia; Carnivora; Mustelidae.